RNAcentral lists this unclassified non-coding RNA (223 nucleotides) under plant metagenome. RNAcentral's name for it is "partial contains small subunit ribosomal RNA, internal transcribed spacer 1, and 5.8S ribosomal RNA". The record is from RNAcentral.
UUUCCGUAGGUGAACCUGCGGAAGGAUCAUUAGUGAAUUGAAUAUGUUAGCGGACCUCUUCGGAGUCCCUAGCAUCAAAUCGUAUCCAUAACAUCUGUGAACUGUAAGGCUGUCUUGAAAACAAAACUGAUUAGAGCGCCUGCCCAUUUUAGACAAACAUUAAAGUAACAAACGUAGUCAUUAUAAUCUAAUAAAACUUUCAACAACGGAUCUCUUGGCUCUC